Molecule: ribosomal RNA, 2891 nt
Filed under: Pseudomonas aeruginosa
Lineage: Bacteria; Pseudomonadati; Pseudomonadota; Gammaproteobacteria; Pseudomonadales; Pseudomonadaceae
Also listed under: 5 other names
Description: 23S ribosomal RNA
Rfam family: Bacterial large subunit ribosomal RNA
Source: RNAcentral
GGUCAAGUGAAGAAGCGCAUACGGUGGAUGCCUUGGCAGUCAGAGGCGAUGAAAGACGUGGUAGCCUGCGAAAAGCUUCGGGGAGUCGGCAAACAGACUUUGAUCCGGAGAUCUCUGAAUGGGGGAACCCACCUAGGAUAACCUAGGUAUCUUGUACUGAAUCCAUAGGUGCAAGAGGCGAACCAGGGGAACUGAAACAUCUAAGUACCCUGAGGAAAAGAAAUCAACCGAGAUUCCCUUAGUAGUGGCGAGCGAACGGGGAUUAGCCCUUAAGCUUCAUUGAUUUUAGCGGAACGCUCUGGAAAGUGCGGCCAUAGUGGGUGAUAGCCCCGUACGCGAAAGGAUCUUUGAAGUGAAAUCGAGUAGGACGGAGCACGAGAAACUUUGUCUGAACAUGGGGGGACCAUCCUCCAAGGCUAAAUACUACUGACUGACCGAUAGUGAACCAGUACCGUGAGGGAAAGGCGAAAAGAACCCCGGAGAGGGGAGUGAAAUAGAACCUGAAACCGUAUGCGUACAAGCAGUGGGAGCCUACUUGUUAGGUGACUGCGUACCUUUUGUAUAAUGGGUCAGCGACUUAUAUUCAGUGGCAAGCUUAACCGUAUAGGGUAGGCGUAGCGAAAGCGAGUCUUAAUAGGGCGUUUAGUCGCUGGGUAUAGACCCGAAACCGGGCGAUCUAUCCAUGAGCAGGUUGAAGGUUAGGUAACACUGACUGGAGGACCGAACCCACUCCCGUUGAAAAGGUAGGGGAUGACUUGUGGAUCGGAGUGAAAGGCUAAUCAAGCUCGGAGAUAGCUGGUUCUCCUCGAAAGCUAUUUAGGUAGCGCCUCAUGUAUCACUCUGGGGGGUAGAGCACUGUUUCGGCUAGGGGGUCAUCCCGACUUACCAAACCGAUGCAAACUCCGAAUACCCAGAAGUGCCGAGCAUGGGAGACACACGGCGGGUGCUAACGUCCGUCGUGAAAAGGGAAACAACCCAGACCGCCAGCUAAGGUCCCAAAGUUGUGGUUAAGUGGUAAACGAUGUGGGAAGGCUUAGACAGCUAGGAGGUUGGCUUAGAAGCAGCCAUCCUUUAAAGAAAGCGUAAUAGCUCACUAGUCGAGUCGGCCUGCGCGGAAGAUGUAACGGGGCUCAAACCACACACCGAAGCUGCGGGUGUCACGUAAGUGACGCGGUAGAGGAGCGUUCUGUAAGCCUGUGAAGGUGAGUUGAGAAGCUUGCUGGAGGUAUCAGAAGUGCGAAUGCUGACAUGAGUAACGACAAUGGGUGUGAAAAACACCCACGCCGAAAGACCAAGGGUUCCUGCGCAACGUUAAUCGACGCAGGGUUAGUCGGUUCCUAAGGCGAGGCUGAAAAGCGUAGUCGAUGGGAAACAGGUUAAUAUUCCUGUACUUCUGGUUACUGCGAUGGAGGGACGGAGAAGGCUAGGCCAGCUUGGCGUUGGUUGUCCAAGUUUAAGGUGGUAGGCUGAAAUCUUAGGUAAAUCCGGGGUUUCAAGGCCGAGAGCUGAUGACGAGUCGUCUUUUAGAUGACGAAGUGGUUGAUGCCAUGCUUCCAAGAAAAGCUUCUAAGCUUCAGGUAACCAGGAACCGUACCCCAAACCGACACAGGUGGUCGGGUAGAGAAUACCAAGGCGCUUGAGAGAACUCGGGUGAAGGAACUAGGCAAAAUGGCACCGUAACUUCGGGAGAAGGUGCGCCGGCUAGGGUGAAGGAUUUACUCCGUAAGCUCUGGCUGGUCGAAGAUACCAGGCCGCUGCGACUGUUUAUUAAAAACACAGCACUCUGCAAACACGAAAGUGGACGUAUAGGGUGUGACGCCUGCCCGGUGCCGGAAGGUUAAUUGAUGGGGUUAGCGCAAGCGAAGCUCUUGAUCGAAGCCCCGGUAAACGGCGGCCGUAACUAUAACGGUCCUAAGGUAGCGAAAUUCCUUGUCGGGUAAGUUCCGACCUGCACGAAUGGCGUAACGAUGGCGGCGCUGUCUCCACCCGAGACUCAGUGAAAUUGAAAUCGCUGUGAAGAUGCAGUGUAUCCGCGGCUAGACGGAAAGACCCCGUGAACCUUUACUGUAGCUUUGCACUGGACUUUGAGCCUGCUUGUGUAGGAUAGGUGGGAGGCUUUGAAGCGUGGACGCCAGUUCGCGUGGAGCCAUCCUUGAAAUACCACCCUGGCAUGCUUGAGGUUCUAACUCUGGUCCGUAAUCCGGAUCGAGGACAGUGUAUGGUGGGCAGUUUGACUGGGGCGGUCUCCUCCUAAAGAGUAACGGAGGAGUACGAAGGUGCGCUCAGACCGGUCGGAAAUCGGUCGCAGAGUAUAAAGGCAAAAGCGCGCUUGACUGCGAGACAGACACGUCGAGCAGGUACGAAAGUAGGUCUUAGUGAUCCGGUGGUUCUGUAUGGAAGGGCCAUCGCUCAACGGAUAAAAGGUACUCCGGGGAUAACAGGCUGAUACCGCCCAAGAGUUCAUAUCGACGGCGGUGUUUGGCACCUCGAUGUCGGCUCAUCACAUCCUGGGGCUGAAGCCGGUCCCAAGGGUAUGGCUGUUCGCCAUUUAAAGUGGUACGCGAGCUGGGUUUAGAACGUCGUGAGACAGUUCGGUCCCUAUCUGCCGUGGACGUUUGAGAUUUGAGAGGGGCUGCUCCUAGUACGAGAGGACCGGAGUGGACGAACCUCUGGUGUUCCGGUUGUCACGCCAGUGGCAUUGCCGGGUAGCUAUGUUCGGAAAAGAUAACCGCUGAAAGCAUCUAAGCGGGAAACUUGCCUCAAGAUGAGAUCUCACUGGGAACUUGAUUCCCCUGAAGGGCCGUCGAAGACUACGACGUUGAUAGGCUGGGUGUGUAAGCGUUGUGAGGCGUUGAGCUAACCAGUACUAAUUGCCCGUGAGGCUUGACCAU